RNAcentral lists this long non-coding RNA (1011 nucleotides) under Apteryx haastii (Great spotted kiwi). RNAcentral describes it as "lncRNA (ENSAHAG00000001352.1)". Lineage: Eukaryota; Metazoa; Chordata; Aves; Apterygiformes; Apterygidae. The record is from RNAcentral.
AUGUCACCUGGAGGAAAGGUGCUGCUCCUCAGCGUUGGGGUUGCUCAUGGAUCCCCAACAGCGUCCUCCUCCAGCCAGCCAGGAGAGCGCCAACUCUCCCCUGCCAAAAGCACCUUUUCUGUUUGUUGCAGGGGGAGACUGGGGAGCCCAGGUCGGACCCAGGUGGCAAAGGGGACUGAGCGAGGCACCCGCGGGGCCAGGAGGUGCUGGGGGAGCCCUUCUCGCCGCGGUGCCCCUGCAUGGGGCUGGGCCCGCUCCCUGGGCACCCCUGCUCGGCCCCUGCUGGCCCUGCCAGCUGCUUUUUGCUCCUUUUUUGCUCGAGGCCCCGUGCCAGGGAGCAGGUACGCGUGCCUGCAGGUUCCCGUGCUGCUGCUGCUGCUGCGCGGCCGCCUGGGGUGUCUACGGGCAGGCUGGUGGCAGAUGGCACGGCGCGCCCAGCGAGCCAGCCUCCCGCGGCGGGCGGGUGGGCGGGUGCACGGUGCCUCCGCCGCCGGCUCUCCCCCCGCGCCCGCCGGCUCUCCCGCUCUCUGCCUUUUUUGGGUCGGGCAUUCGGUAAGCCGAGCCCAGCACCUGGCUCUGCUCAGCUGGCGCAGGCAGCGCCAUAAAUCAUCCCCGACGUUACGGAGUACACACUGCGCCGCCGGGGAGCGCCGGGGCCGGCUGCCUCUCCCGUGCGCGGCGCUGGGCCGGGGGCCGCGGCUCCUUCCCGGGGCGCUGGCCACGAGGCACCGCGGGGAGCAGAGCACCGGUGGAGCCACGGGGCAGGCGCUGAGCCCCGGGGCGGUGCGACCCCCCGGAGCUGCUGCGCGGCCAUGGGGCUGUGCCACCGAGGGGAGCAACUUGUUUGGGGCCGGCAGGGCUGCCCAUGGCCCGGGGAGCGCCCUGGUCCCCGCCAGCCGCUGCCGCCAAGCUCCGGUGUCCAGCACAGCGCCAGCGCUUGGGGCCCACGGCACCCGUGCACCCCAGUGCUGGAGCCCGAAUCCCCGGGCACCAGGCUGGCUGGGGGCUUGA